AUAUAUAGAGUCCGGCUGAGGUACUAUCGUGGUGCUAUCGAGUUUUUCACCGUUAAAUUUAACCCUCUGAUUAUUUUUACCCGUUAGAUUAUACUAUUCAACAAACCACUCACUCAAUCCUAGAGGGUCCACAUCAUCCUAGCCACCCAUUUCUCAAUCUAAGGGCUAAAAAAUCAAUAGCACCAAUAGUUUGAUGCUAUUGAUAGUAUUCCAGCCUAGUUCUAUAUAUAUAUAUAUAGAGAGAGAGAGAGAGAGAGAGAGAUAGACUUGGACUGGGCUACUAUUAGUAGCAAAAUCCCAUUGUUGCUACCAAUUUUUUAGCCUUUGAAUCAACUCUUUUCAUUAUUUCUAACCAUUGAAUUAAAUACUAUAACCUAGUAGGGACCACUCAACCCUAGGGGGACUACUCAACUCUAAUCGACUAAUAUCAUCCUGACCUUACAAUUUUUCAUCAAAGGGUUAAAAACUUGAUAGCAAAAAGAGCAUUUUACUAUUAAUAGUAUUCCAGCCUAAUUCUAUAUAUAUAUACUCCGACUACUAUAUACUUUUAUGAGUAUUGACUGUCUUAUACUCAUAAAUUUUCGGCCCUUAGAUUUAUUUCAUUAAUCAUUUUCAUUCGUUAGAUCAUACUACUUAACCAACUACUCACUCAACUCUAGGGGACCACUAUCAUUUUAAGUGGGGACCACCAUCAUCCUAACCACACAUCCCAUCAAUUAACGGUUAAAAAUUUAUGAGUAAAAAGAGAUCUAUACUCAUAAGAGUAUAGUAGCCCCAGCCUAUAUAUAUAUAUAUAUAUAUAUAUAUAUAUAUAUAUAUAGUAAGGCUACUAUGCUAUCGGAAGCACGAAGCCUUCCGUGCUUCCAGCUCGUUUUCGAUGUUGCGACUUUCGAAUCGUCGAUCAGCUCCGUUAAACUUGAUCUAGAGUAUUUGAAGUACCUAGAAAAUAAAUUAUACGAUUUUUCGAUAUUAUUUACCUAGUGAACGAAGGGGCUCAAAAUCAACAGCUGAAAAUAAAAAUCUUACAAAACGUUAUAAUAUGACAUUAAAAUUUUAGAUCAAAGAUAUUAAUCUUGUUUUAUAUAGUAUAAAAAAAAUUUUAUCAAAAUUUCACGUGAUUUGGAUAUUUCUACACCGUUAAACUUGCAAACGGCUCACUACGGCCAUUAAAAUUAUUGAUUUUGAGUCCCUUCGAUCACUAGGCAAAUGAUAUCGAAAAAUCAUAAAAUUUAUUUUCUAGGUACUUCAAAUACUCUAGAUCAAGUUUAACGGAGCCGAUCGACGAUUCGAAAGUCGCAACAUCGAAAACGAGCUGGAAGCACGGAAGGUUCCGUGCUUUCGAUAGCGCGCGCGCCCGCACACACACACACACACACAUAU
Molecule: long non-coding RNA, 1380 nt
Filed under: Ananas comosus (pineapple)
Lineage: Eukaryota; Viridiplantae; Streptophyta; Magnoliopsida; Poales; Bromeliaceae
Description: long non-coding RNA (ACOM_LNC014444)
Source: RNAcentral